CAAGUCGAACGAUGAACCUUAGCUUGCUAGGGGAAUUAGUGGCGAACGGGUGAGUAAUAUAUCGGAACGUACCUUGUAAUGGGGGAUAACUAGUCGAAAGAUUAGCUAAUACCGCAUACGCCCUGAGGGGGAAAGUAGGGGAUCUUCGGACCUUACGUUAUAAGAGCGGCCGAUAUCUGAUUAGCUAGUUGGUGGGGUAAUGGCCUACCAAGGCGACGAUCAGUAGCUGGUCUGAGAGGACGACCAGCCACACUGGAACUGAGACACGGUCCAGACUCCUACGGGAGGCAGCAGUGGGGAAUUUUGGACAAUGGGCGAAAGCCUGAUCCAGCCAUUCCGCGUGAGUGAAGAAGGCCUUCGGGUUGUAAAGCUCUUUCGCAAGGGAAGAAAACUUACAUUCUAAUAAAGUGUGAGGCUGACGGUACCUUGAUAAGAAGCACCGGCUAACUACGUGCCAGCAGCCGCGGUAAUACGUAGGGUGCGAGCGUUAAUCGGAAUUACUGGGCGUAAAGCGUGCGCAGGCGGUUUUGUAAGUCAGAUGUGAAAUCCCCGAGCUCAACUUGGGAACUGCGUUUGAAACUACAAGACUAGAAUAUGUCAGAGGGGGGUAGAAUUCCACGUGUAGCAGUGAAAUGCGUAGAGAUGUGGAGGAAUAUCAAUGGCGAAGGCAGCCCCCUGGGAUAAUAUUGACGCUCAUGCACGAAAGCGUGGGGAGCAAACAGGAUUAGAUACCCUGGUAGUCCACGCCCUAAACGAUGUCUACUAGUUGUUGGUGGAGUAAAAUCCAUGAGUAACGCAGCUAACGCGUGAAGUAGACCGCCUGGGGAGUACGGUCGCAAGAUUAAAACUCAAAGGAAUUGACGG
RNAcentral lists this ribosomal RNA (864 nucleotides) under uncultured bacterium. RNAcentral's name for it is "bacterial SSU rRNA". It matches the Rfam family "Bacterial small subunit ribosomal RNA", at positions 58 to 916 of the family's 1533-position model. The record is from RNAcentral.